This 366-nucleotide transfer-messenger RNA is filed under the name Gammaproteobacteria (g-proteobacteria). RNAcentral describes it as "SHZI01 sp024234935 Standard tmRNA". It matches the Rfam family "transfer-messenger RNA". From Rfam's summary of the family: Bacterial tmRNA, also known as 10Sa RNA or SsrA, is named for its dual tRNA and mRNA-like properties. RNAcentral also lists the same sequence under 1 other name. Lineage: Bacteria; Pseudomonadati; Pseudomonadota. The record is from RNAcentral.
GGGGGCGACAUGGUUUCGACGUGGGUUACAAACCUCUGGGUGCAUGCCGAGGUGCAGAUCACCUCGUAAAUCCAUCUGCAAACCUUAUAGUUGCCAACGACGACAACUACGCUCUCGCUGCUUAAAAACCAGCGCUAGAGCCUUCUGACCGGGUCCGUGCUUGUGCGGUCCGGAGCCAGGAGUCAUCAAACACAAGCUCGCCCGAGGGUUCGUCCAGGACCCGACGGUUAACUGCCUAUUACUGGACUGGCUGUCAGUUGUCCCUGUCCGUCGGGUAGCUGCCAGCAAGAAAAAAGGCGGAAUACGCAUGUAGAUCCUUGAGCAGCGGACUUGCGGACGCGGGUUCGAUUCCCGCCGCCUCCACCA